RNAcentral lists this ribosomal RNA (497 nucleotides) under uncultured bacterium. Its description in RNAcentral is "partial 16S ribosomal RNA". It matches the Rfam family "Bacterial small subunit ribosomal RNA", at positions 28 to 507 of the family's 1533-position model. The record is from RNAcentral.
GAUGAACGCUGGCGGCGUGCCUAAUACAUGCGAGUCGAGCGAACAGAUAAGGAGCUUGCUCCUUUGACGUUGGCGGCGGACGGGUGAGUAACACGUGGGUAACCUACCUAUAAGACUGGAAUAACUCCGGGAAACCGGGGCUAAUGCCGGAUAACAUUUAGAACCGCAUGGUUCUAAAGUGAAAGAUGGUUUUGCUAUCACUUAUAGAUGGACCCGCGCCGUAUUAGCUAGUUGGUAAGGUAACGGCUUACCAAGGCAACGAUACGUAGCCGACCUGAGAGGGUGAUCGGCCACACUGGAACUGAGACACGGUCCAGACACCUACGGGAGGCAGCAGUAGGGAAUCUUACGCAAUGGGCGAAAGCCUGACGGAGCAACGCCGCGUGAGUGAUGAAGGUCUUCGGAUCGUAAAACUCUGUUAUUAGGGAAGAAGAAAUGUGUAAGUAACUGUGCACGUCUUGACGGUACCGAAUCAGAAAGCCACGGCUAACUACGUG